AAGUCAGAUGAGUGCAUGAGCAGC
RNAcentral lists this non-coding RNA (24 nucleotides) under Rattus norvegicus (Norway rat). Lineage: Eukaryota; Metazoa; Chordata; Mammalia; Rodentia; Muridae. The record is from RNAcentral.